GUCCAUCAUGCCUAAAUACAAUCUCUAUGCCUUGUCCUGGGCAGGAGGAUGAGGCUUGGCUACGUUCCCUUUCAAGAAUCAAGACGAGAGGACUGAAAGAGAAACAGCUGAAAAGAAGGAGCCAAAUAAAAAACAAGAUCCAGCUGGAGGAGUUCAGGCCCGAUAAGCAGGCUUGAAAAAGAGGUCAGGCCCCAGGAGCUGGGCUGGAGCAGUGAGGAGUGUUUCUUCCAAGAGAAGAUGACUGCCUGAGAGCUUUGGUAGGCAGCCUGAAAUUGCUCAUCAAGGAAAAAGACCAGACUCGGAUUUUAAAUGGCUUCUUCUGAAUGAAGCAAUUAAUGCUAAAAGGAACAUGUUGUCUUCUCAGCAUUUAUAAGGAUUAUUAAUGAGGAUGGCCUGUGCAAAAAGACACCCAGAGAUUUCAUGCUGUUGAUUCACAGAAAGCCUGUUACUGUUCACUCCGUAGAGUCCUCAGAGUCUGGAUCAUCCCUUACAGAAGAUCCUUGAUAAUAUUUCUGAUACACCUCCAAGGUUCCAUUUGUCAAAUGUGUGUGACCCUUCCGAUAAGUCACCAGAGGUGAUGAGGGAGAGAGAGAAAGAAAGCAAAUUACAACUGUAAAGAGUCUCUGAACAGUGAAAGAUCAAAACAGACAGUCUCUGGCUUUACUGGAUGAGUCACCAUUGCAGCCCGACCGCAAAAACAAGCGUGGCUUCUGUACUUAGCAGCAGUCUUCCUGUCUGGAAAGGAAACAUUGCUCAGAUUGGAGAUACUGGCCAUUUUAUAGACUUCAAAGCAACUUAGGCAACUGAACUGUCAGGCGGGAAAACAGGAUGUCUUCCAUUUGGAAGCCCCUUUGCUUCUAAGAAGUUCCAGAGACCAGCCCAGGCCCACAGAGUUAUAAGGAUUCAUCUGGGUACUGAAGACAUUUGGGACCUCAGUGAAGUUUCUCCGAGGCCAGAUGGUCACAUUGAUUUUCUGGAAUCAUUUUGAAUAAAAAUGAGCGAGGUGGUGAACGCAAUGCAAGGCUCUCCACGUACUGUCUGGUAUUGUUCAACCAGCUCCACGACUCCCUGAGGGCAGAGAUGAGCAGAUGUUAAUGGAUAAAGCCAGGUGGGAUGAUGUUAUAACAUUUCUCCUACAGCCCCAAAUCUCCCACCUCCUGCAUGUGUGACCUGAGUAAGAGUCGGUGCAAGAAGACGUCGGUGUUCCCAUCUGUGAAAUGAAGGAAUUGACCCCCGAGGAUCUUCCAUUUCUGACAGUGCUUUGGAUUUCAUUGGUUUUGUCACAGGUACCCCCCAAAAGCCUCCAUCUUUGGAUAAGUGAUUAAAACUGCUGAGUAAUUUUCAAUCAAUAAAAGUUCAGUGCUGGCUCUCA
Molecule: long non-coding RNA, 1372 nt
Organism: Pan troglodytes (chimpanzee)
Lineage: Eukaryota; Metazoa; Chordata; Mammalia; Primates; Hominidae
Exons: 6
Source: RefSeq, a predicted model, not a curated record